AAAGAGAUUACGAAAUGCGCAUGUUUGCUUUCAGUCAGCUGUUUUUUGCUUACGUCACGGUAGACUUAUUAUUCGCCCGCGAAAUGUGAAACUAUAUAUUUUUAAAAUGCGUUGCGCAGUGUACGGUUGUAAUAAUAACAAUGGCAAAAAUAGUGCUACGAAGUGGAGAUUUUUUCAUUUCCCUAAGGAUAAGGCCGCAGUAAAACAAUGGAUUAAUUUUUGUCGUCGGACGGACAAAAUUAACGUUAAAAAUGCGUGCAUUUGUGAAGUGCACUUCGCGCCAGAAGCCUUCGAAAGAAAUUUGCAGUUUGAAAUGGGUUUAAGUUCGCGGAAUCCAACGAAGUUGCUACCUAACGCUUUUCCCACGUUAACCACUGCUCCUGCAGAGGCUAAUGAACGGCAGAAAAGGAUGGAGUCUCGUUCCAAAAAAGAGAUGUUGGCAGCAAUCUUGAAGAAUACCGCCCCUGUUGAAGUAAUUCAAGAAGACGAAGUUGGAGAGGCACCUCAAACUGCAGAAGAGGAGGUCAUCGAUGAGAAAGACGAGAAAAUACUGCAUUUGGAAACAGAAAUACAAAGGCUGAAUAGUGUUGUUAGCACAUUGAAUAAAUGCAAAAACGAGCAGUUAGAAGAAAUUAAACGCCUUAAGAUUUCCAUUAAAACCGCGGAAUUCCAUAGAAAUAAUUUGGAGCAAAAACUUAGCAGCAUUUUCACCAACGGCCAGAUUGAAAAAUUAAGAGACGGAAACAAACGACGCAAUUGGAAAGAAGAAGACAUAGCUAUGUCGAUCACGCUAUAUUCAACGAGCCCGAAAGCGUACAAACUCUUAAGAAGAAACAACUUUCCUCUACCAGGUGUGCGCACUCUGCAAUGGUGGUCAAAGAAAAUUGGAAUAGCUCCAGGUGUCAAAAUAAAUAAUGUCAAAAUAGAAAAUUAAAUAAUACAAUGAAAAUGCAAUCAAAUGAAUAUGUAGGUAAAUGUUCACUUUAAAAUAUCACUUAUGUAUAUUGAUAUCUUUUAUUAAAAUCACUUAAUUUGAUGUUAACAUUUGAUGAAAUCAGCUGAUUGGACGUUCGUCAACCGUGACGUAGAUGCGCAGAACCUAGAAAAUUUGAACUCAUCUUUGCGCAAUCUUUGUUUCUAUCAUUCUUGAUCCUAUACCAUGUUUUCCUGGUUUCACUGGAAUAAAAGUAUUAACGAAAAUAUUAAAUUCAUAUUUCAUAUAUACAGAUAGUUAGUUGGCUUUGAGACCACUAAAGUCUCCAGGGAUCUUGUCUAAGAUAGUGAAGGAAUGCCUUGAUCUCUUGGUGGACCUGACAUCCUACUGCACGAUCAAUCUGCAAUGGGUUCUAAGACAUAGUCAUAUCACUGGGAACUGUGAAGAAGAUGAACUAGCCAAAACAUACACCACCCUACAGUUGGACUCUGGAAUAUUUAAUCGCCAAAUAUGUUAUAAAUAUACAAGUAUUAUAGUUAAGUCACGGUGGAAACAAUUCCUGACUUACUAACAGGCCGCACAUGCCGACUAUGUAAGUUUAAAAGGAAUGAUAUAAUAAUUCUAGUAGGAGUGCCAAAUCGUUACAGUCAAAUUGACAGACAUGUCAGCAUACUAGGAGACCUUUAAACAUCUUCUAUGUGUCUAUAAGGCUCUAUAUAGGAAAAUAUAUAGGAAAAUAAUAAUAGCUUCUCGAUAACGUCUCGGAGGUUGCUCAUUUAAAACUUUUUGUAUUGAUGAACUUUAUCAGACAACAACAACUUUAGUCUCGGUGAUAUUACAAGGGGCCUCCUAAAGGCCUAGGAGCAUCAUAAGACAACUAAUCUACCUAACCUAAUUUAUGUGAAUAACAAUGAGAACGCUUUCAUCAAGUUGUUCGCAUUUUGGAGGAGCGUUACCAGGGUCUUUGGAAUGCAAAUAUGAUGGCAGAUUGCUGCUGCAGCAUUCAAAACAAGACAACAUGUCUGUAUUUGACUGUAUGUCCAAAAUAUAGCUAAUUUGUGCGAUAUCUGAGUAGAAUUAAGGGGUCAUUUUCCUGAUGAUGUGUUUAAACCAAUUAAAUAUAAUUAUUUCCGUCAUUCUGAUCUAAUA
This is an RNA transcript of Bactrocera neohumeralis, 2083 nucleotides long. It is a transcript of the gene named 52 kDa repressor of the inhibitor of the protein kinase, with no coding region annotated. NCBI's taxonomy places the organism in Eukaryota, Metazoa, Arthropoda, Insecta, Diptera, Tephritidae. The record is from RefSeq and is a predicted model, not a curated record. The transcript is spliced from 5 exons.